AAAGAGUUCUAUAACUCCCAAACCCAUGUGAACAUACCUAACGUUGCCUCGGCAGGUCGCACCUACCUUGUAGCACCCUACCCUGUAGGGCCUACCCGGGAGGUGCGGGUAAGCCUGCCGGCGGCCCACCAAACUCUGUUUGAUAUUGAAUUCUGAACCUAUAACUAAAUAAGUUAAAACUUUCAACAACGGAUCUCUUGGUUCUGGCAUCGAUGAAGAACGCAGCGAAAUGCGAUAAGUAAUGUGAAUUGCAGAAUUCAGUGAAUCAUCGAAUCUUUGAACGCAUAUUGCGCCCAUUAGUAUUCUAGUGGGCAGGACCGUUCGAGCGUCAUUUCAACCCUUAAGCCUUCGUUGCUUAGUGUUGGGAGCCUACGGCAACGUAGCUCCUCAAAGUUAGUGGCGGAGUUGGUUCACACUCUAGACGUAGUAAUUUUUUAUCUCGCCUAUUAGUUGGACUAAUCCCCUGCCGUAAAACCCCCAAUCUAUAUCAAGGUUGACCUCGAAUCGGUUCAGACAAACUCGCUAAAUUGAAGCAUCUUAGUCAGCGAAGGAAAAGAAACCAACAGGGAUUGCCCUAGUAACGGCGAGUGAAGCGGCAACAGCUCAAAUUUGAAAUCUGGCCCUCGGGUCCGAGUUGUAAUUUGUAGAGGAUGCUUUUGGCGCG
RNAcentral lists this ribosomal RNA (664 nucleotides) under fungal endophyte. RNAcentral describes it as "eukaryotic LSU rRNA". The stretch from base 178 to 331 matches the Rfam family "5.8S ribosomal RNA". Lineage: Eukaryota; Fungi. The record is from RNAcentral.